UACGUAGGGUGCGAGCGUUGUCCGGAAUUAUUGGGCGUAAAGAGCUCGUAGGCGGUUUGUCGCGUCGACUGUGAAAACCCGAGGCUUAACCUCGGGCCUGCAGUCGAUACGGGCAGACUAGAGUUCGGUAGGGGAGACUGGAAUUCCUGGUGUAGCGGUGAAAUGCGCAGAUAUCAGGAGGAACACCGGUGGCGAAGGCGGGUCUCUGGACAGUUCCUGACACUGAGACACGAAGGCCAGGGGAGCAAACGGGG
This 254-nucleotide ribosomal RNA is filed under the name uncultured bacterium. RNAcentral's name for it is "partial 16S ribosomal RNA". It matches the Rfam family "Bacterial small subunit ribosomal RNA", at positions 524 to 777 of the family's 1533-position model. The record is from RNAcentral.